RNAcentral lists this ribosomal RNA (501 nucleotides) under uncultured bacterium. RNAcentral describes it as "bacterial SSU rRNA". It matches the Rfam family "Bacterial small subunit ribosomal RNA", at positions 28 to 517 of the family's 1533-position model. The record is from RNAcentral.
GAUGAACGCUAGCGAUAGGCCUAACACAUGCAAGUCGAGGGGCAUCACAUGAAGUAGCAAUACGGAUGGUGGCGACCGGCGCACGGGUGAGUAACACGUAUGCAACCUGCCUUCAACAAGGGGAUAACCCGUUGAAAGACGGACUAAUACCCUAUAACACAGGGGUCCCGCAUGGGAAUAUUUGUUAAAGGACAACCGGUUGAAGAUGGGCAUGCGUUCCAUUAGCUAGUUGGCGGGGUAACGGCCCACCAAGGCAACGAUGGAUAGGGGAACUGAGAGGUUUAUCCCCCACACUGGUACUGAGACACGGACCAGACUCCUACGGGAGGCAGCAGUGAGGAAUAUUGGUCAAUGGACGCAAGUCUGAACCAGCCACGUCGCGUGAAGGAAGACGGCCCUACGGGGUUGUAAACUUCUUUUAUACGGGGAAUAAAGUGCCCCACGCGUGGGGUUUUGCAUGUACCGUAUGAAUAGGAUCGGCUAACUCCGUGCCAGCAGCCG